RNAcentral lists this ribosomal RNA (549 nucleotides) under uncultured bacterium. RNAcentral's name for it is "bacterial SSU rRNA". It matches the Rfam family "Bacterial small subunit ribosomal RNA", at positions 355 to 896 of the family's 1533-position model. The record is from RNAcentral.
UGGGGAAUAUUGGACAAUGGGCGAAAGCCUGAUCCAGCCAUGCCGCGUGAAUGAAGAAGGCCUUAUGGUUGUAAAGCACUUUAAGUGGGGAGGAAAAGCUUAUGGAUAACACCCAUAGGUUCUGACGUUACCCACAGAAUAAGCACCGGCUAACUCUGUGCCAGCAGCCGCGGUAAUACAGAGGGUGCAAGCGUUAAUCGGAAUUACUGGGCGUAAAGCGAGCGUAGGUGGUUUAUUAAGUCAGAUGUGAAAUCCCUGGGCUUAACCUAGGAACUGCAUCUGAUACUGAUAAACUAGAGUAGGUGAGAGGAAAGUAGAAUUCCAGGUGUAGCGGUGAAAUGCGUAGAUAUCUGGAGGAAUACCGAUGGCGAAGGCAGCUUUCUGGCAUCAUACUGACACUGAGGUUCGAAAGCGUGGGUAGCAAACAGGAUUAGAUACCCUGGUAGUCCACGCCGUAAACGAUGUCUACCAGUCGUUGGGUCUUUUAAAGGCUUAGUGACGCAGUUAACGCGAUAAGUAGACCGCCUGGGGAGUACGGCCGCAAGGUUA